Bicyclus anynana (squinting bush brown) is the source of this 1753-nucleotide long non-coding RNA. RefSeq lists it as uncharacterized. Lineage: Eukaryota; Metazoa; Arthropoda; Insecta; Lepidoptera; Nymphalidae. The record is from RefSeq and is a predicted model, not a curated record. The transcript has 5 exons.
UGCAGGGUCAUUAUGUAACUCGGUGAACGCUUUAAAAUCACAGUCACGACAACAAAUGACAGCGAUUUUUCGUUUUUGCGAUCAUGUAACACACAUCUCCCACCGAAAUGACGUCAUCUUGGAUCGUUCUCUGUCACGGUCACUUGUAGGGAUUUAUCCAAGUUAUAACGCAGUUUUUACGUAUCGAUAGUCAGUUUAAGCGAUUAUGUAAGCCUAGUGAUCAUACAACUGGGUGACACAGAAGUUGUCAAAGUCAAUCGCUAUAGAAACUAAUACCGAGCAGUGUUUUAAUAAAGUUUACUUGACGCCUGUGAUUCAAUAAUUACAAAUAAAAGUACUUUUAGGAUUUUUUUGAAUUUUGUACUAUACCUUGUAAGUAAGGUAUUAGUUUGUAAGUCAAUAAAAUCAGAAUUAGAAAAGUUUUUCAUGUAAAAUAUGACGAAAGUUGAGAAUAUAUAGUAGGUACCUACCUACAUACUUAUUUCAUAAAGCAGAAUUACAGUUUUAGAGUUAGUUGAAGUGAAUUUAAUUAAUUGUGUUAUUUUUGUAGUGUUUACCGACAUUGCCAUGUACAAUACAAUGCAUGUAGCAUUUGUAUUGUACGCGGAAACGGAACGAAAAAGAUGUCUUUGUCGAGUUCAUUGCAAAACUUUCGUGUCGCGAUACCAGCAGGUUUUAGAAGAAAUACAAAGUCUUCGAACAACUGCUGUUCGCAAUGAAUUAGAGAUAAGUAAGUUAUAUGAAUGAAUGAAGGAAUUUUCUUCAUUCUCUGCGUUGAGCAAGUGACGUGGACUAUGGGCCUAACCCCUCUCAUUCUGAGAGGAGACUCGAGCUCAGCAGUGAGCCAAAUAUGGUAUUUUUAUAUGGUCUUGGCAGCUUUAAACUUUUAUGCCAAUGGAUCAUACAAAUGGCUUUGUGAUGGCUAAGGCAUCUUUUAGCAAAUGCCUACAUGAAGUCGCUGACGCUCCUGAAUACCCCAGCUGUUUAAAAAAAUGUGUUAAGUUCCCUUUGCAUUAAACACAAAAUCAUUAUAAAUAAAUAUGUGAUGCCAAUCUAAUAAUAACAUAGUGGAUGCUCAAUUUGGUGGUGCAUCUUAUGACUUGUACAUAUGGAACCAGUGCAAUAAGACCACUUGAGGAAAACCUGCCCAAUAGGGACCGCUGUUGGUUGUUAGGUAAGCUGUUGCUUAGGUGACCAAUGUUUGCAUGAUGACCCCCAUCUUGGGAGCUGCUCCUAGAUCCCAUGAAGAUAUGGACAACAUUGCUGUGUCAGAAAUACGGUGGAGCCUUGUAGUUGGGUGCAUAUUGUAAAAUGUUUCCUCACUCCAAAACCAUGAACUCUGGUUUCCUAAACCCUCAAGCUAUGCAGCCGAAGGAGGAGACUUAUCACAGGAGAAUCACUAAUAGUUUUGAAGAAGUGAAGAGCUUAACAAUGUUUCAACCAACACCUAAAGAAGCUUUCACUUGGCUGUUAGAUCAAGGGCUGGAUACAGAAAACAGUAAUCCUUGUGAUGGCAGUAUUGUCCAAGGAUUCCUCACUCAAAACCAUGAUAACAAGUUGCUAGAACCCUCAAGCUAUGCAGACAAAGGACUGGAUAUAUUUUUUCGUGACCAAGCCUUCUGUAUAAUUAUUUAUACUUAAACCAUACAAAGCACUAUCUAGCCCCAAAGUAGGCAUACAGAGUAGCUUGUGUUGUGGGUACUAAGAUAGUUGAUAUUAUAAUAUUCAUUUACAUUUAUAUACUACCUAUAAA